RNAcentral lists this transfer RNA (66 nucleotides) under Bugula neritina. RNAcentral describes it as "tRNA-Leu". The record is from RNAcentral. Lineage: Eukaryota; Metazoa; Bryozoa; Gymnolaemata; Cheilostomatida; Bugulidae.
UUUUAUUUACUUUAAAUUUGAAAAGGCACACUCAAAAUCAUAAAAAACAUCAAAUUAAAAUAAAAA